RNAcentral lists this microRNA precursor (380 nucleotides) under Oryza sativa (Asian cultivated rice). RNAcentral's name for it is "miR5160 stem-loop (osa-MIR5160)". Lineage: Eukaryota; Viridiplantae; Streptophyta; Magnoliopsida; Poales; Poaceae. The record is from miRBase by way of RNAcentral.
CUUUUUGCAGAAAUAUACCGUCGAUCUCACAUAACCAUUGAGCAUGACGUCGUGGGCGGUAUCGUGCAGGGAAAGCCGGUCUCGCUGAUUGAAAUAGCGAUACCGGACUGCCACCGAUUCAAUUAGUGAUUAAUUAUCAUGAUUAGCGAUUAAUUAAUUAAUUAUUAAUCACUAAUCAGGAUAAUUAGUCACUAAAUAUUAUUAGUUAAUAGUUAAUUAGGUAAUUAAUCACUAAUUAAAAAGUGGAGAUCAUUGCAUCAGUGAGACAGUGUCGCUGUUUCAAUCAGCGAGACCGCUCUUCCGUUCCGCGAGACUGCGCGGUCUCGCCCUUUUGCGCAACGGUUGUGCGAGAUCGAUGGUAUAUUUCUGCAAAACAAUUU